Molecule: ribosomal RNA, 252 nt
Filed under: uncultured bacterium
Lineage: Bacteria
Description: partial 16S ribosomal RNA
Rfam family: Bacterial small subunit ribosomal RNA
Source: RNAcentral
UACGUAGGGGGCAAGCGUUAUCCGGAAUUACUGGGCGUAAAGGGUGCGUAGGUGGUUUCUUAAGUCAGAGGUGAAAGGCUACGGCUCAACCGUAGUAAGCCUUUGAAACUGGGAAACUUGAGUGCAGGAGAGGAGAGUGGAAUUCCUAGUGUAGCGGUGAAAUGCGUAGAUAUUAGGAGGAACACCAGUGGCGAAGGCGAUUCUCUGGACUGUAACUGACGCUGAGGCUCGAAAGCGUGGGGAGCAAACAGG